AAUGAACGCUGGCGGCAUGCCUAACACAUGCAAGUCGAACGAAGGCUUCGGCCUUUGUGGCGCACGGGUGCGGAACGCGUGGGAAUCUGCCCUUGGGUUCGGAAUAACAGUUAGAAAUGACUGCUAAUACCGGAUGAUGUCGUAAGACCAAAGAUUUAUUGCCCCAGGAUGAGCCCGCGUAGGAUUCGCUGGUUGGUGGGGUAAAGGCCUACCAAGGCGUGGAUCCUUAGCUGGUCUGAGAGGAUGAUUAGCCACACUAGGACUGAGCCACAGCCCAGAAUCCUACGCGAGGGAGCAGUGGGGAACAUAGGACAAUGGGCGAAGGCCUGAUCCAGCAAUGCCGGGUGAGUGAUGAAGGCCUUAGGGUUGUAAUGUUGUUUUAACCGGGAUGAUAAUGACAGUACCGGGUGAAUAAGCACCGGCUAACUUCGUG
RNAcentral lists this ribosomal RNA (433 nucleotides) under uncultured bacterium. Its description in RNAcentral is "partial 16S ribosomal RNA". It matches the Rfam family "Bacterial small subunit ribosomal RNA", at positions 29 to 507 of the family's 1533-position model. The record is from RNAcentral.